GAUGAACGCUAGCGGGAGGCCUAACACAUGCAAGCCGAGCGGUAGAGUUUCUUCGGAAACUUGAUAGCGGCGCACGGGUGCGUAACACGUGUGCAACCUACCUUUAUCUGGGGGAUAGCCUUUCGAACGGAAGAUUAAUACCCCAUAAUAUAAUGAUUGGCAUCAAUUAUUAUUGAAAACUCCGGUGGAUAGAGAUGGGCCCGCGCAAGAUUAGAUAGUUGGUGAGGUAACGGCUCACCAAGUCAAUGAUCUUUAGGGGUCCUGAGGGGGAGAUCCACCACACUGGUAAUGAGACCCGGACCAGACUGCUACGGGACGCAGCAGUGAGUAAUAUUGUACAAUGGGUGAGAGCCUGACACAGCCGUCCCGGUUGAAGGAUGACGCUCCUAUGGAUUGUAAACUUCUUUUGUACAGCGAUAAACCAACCCUCGUGAGGGUAGCUGACGGUACUGUACGAAUAAGCACCGGCUAACUCCGUG
RNAcentral lists this ribosomal RNA (479 nucleotides) under uncultured bacterium. RNAcentral describes it as "partial 16S ribosomal RNA". It matches the Rfam family "Bacterial small subunit ribosomal RNA", at positions 28 to 507 of the family's 1533-position model. The record is from RNAcentral.